ACCCUCCAGUUCCCUUUCCCAUUGGAUUUGAACCCUGGUCUCAGUGGUCAUAAAAGGAGGAAUAGUAGUCCUGAAGCUGUGCUCAUAGCGUCUGCUAUAUAGCAUGUGGGCUAGUUUAAAACAAGG
RNAcentral lists this small nucleolar RNA (126 nucleotides) under Monodon monoceros (narwhal). RNAcentral describes it as "Small nucleolar RNA SNORA61 (ENSMMNG00015011248.1)". It matches the Rfam family "Small nucleolar RNA SNORA61". Rfam says of the family: ACA61 is a member of the H/ACA class of snoRNA that guide the sites of modification of uridines to pseudouridines. The record is from Rfam by way of RNAcentral. Lineage: Eukaryota; Metazoa; Chordata; Mammalia; Artiodactyla; Monodontidae.